RNAcentral lists this ribosomal RNA (417 nucleotides) under uncultured bacterium. Its description in RNAcentral is "bacterial SSU rRNA". It matches the Rfam family "Bacterial small subunit ribosomal RNA", at positions 28 to 433 of the family's 1533-position model. The record is from RNAcentral.
GACGAACGCUGGCGGCGUGCUUAACACAUGCAAGUCGAACGGGGUGUUUAUUUCGGUAAACACCAAGUGGCGAACGGGUGAGUAACGCGUAAGCAAUCUACCUUCAAGAUGGGGACAACACUUCGAAAGGGGUGCUAAUACCGAAUGAAUGUAAGAGUAUCGCAUGAGACACUUACUAAAGGAGGCCUCUGAAAAUGCUUCCGCUUGAAGAUGAGCUUGCGUCUGAUUAGCUAGUUGGUGAGGGUAAAGGCCCACCAAGGCGACGAUCAGUAGCCGGUCUGAGAGGAUGAACGGCACAUUGGGACUGAGACACGGCCCAGACUCCUACGGGAGCAGCAGUGGGAAUCUUCCGCAAUGGGCGAAAGCCUGACGGAGCAACGCCGCGUGAACGAUGAAGGUCUUAGGAUCGUAAAGUUC